UACGUAGGGUGCGAGCGUUGUCCGGAUUUAUUGGGCGUAAAGAGCGUGUAGGCGGCUAGGUAGGUCCGUUGUGAAAACUCGAGGCUCAACCUCGAGACGCCGGUGGAAACCAUCUAGCUAGAGUCCGGAAGAGGAGAGUGGAAUUCCUGGUGUAGCGGUGAAAUGCGCAGAUAUCAGGAAGAACACCCGUGGCGAAGGCGGCUCUCUGGGACGUGACUGACGCUGAGACGCGAAAGCGUGGGGAGCGAACAGG
RNAcentral lists this ribosomal RNA (253 nucleotides) under uncultured bacterium. RNAcentral's name for it is "partial 16S ribosomal RNA". It matches the Rfam family "Bacterial small subunit ribosomal RNA", at positions 524 to 776 of the family's 1533-position model. The record is from RNAcentral.